RNAcentral lists this unclassified non-coding RNA (131 nucleotides) under Fusarium tricinctum. RNAcentral describes it as "ITS1". The record is from RNAcentral. Lineage: Eukaryota; Fungi; Ascomycota; Sordariomycetes; Hypocreales; Nectriaceae.
AACUCCCAACCCCUGUGAACAUACCUUUAAUGUUGCCUCGGCGGAUCAGCCCGCGCCCCGUAAAACGGGACGGCCCGCCAGAGGACCCAAACUCUAAUGUUUCUUAUUGUAACUUCUGAGUAAAACAAACA